UUAGUUCGGAUUGUAGGCUGCAACUCGCCUACAUGAAGUCGGAAUUGCUAGUAAUCGCGGAUCAGCAUGCCGCGGUGAAUACGUUCCCGGGCCUUGUACACACCGCCCGUCACACCAUGGGAGUCGGUAACACCCGAAGCCUGUAGUCUAACCGCGAAGGGGGACGCAGUCGAAGGUGGGAUUGAUGGACUGGGGUGAAGUCGUAACAAGGUAAC
Molecule: ribosomal RNA, 215 nt
Filed under: uncultured bacterium
Lineage: Bacteria
Description: partial 16S ribosomal RNA
Rfam family: Bacterial small subunit ribosomal RNA
Source: RNAcentral